RNAcentral lists this ribosomal RNA (513 nucleotides) under Fusarium tricinctum. RNAcentral describes it as "eukaryotic LSU rRNA". The stretch from base 128 to 281 matches the Rfam family "5.8S ribosomal RNA". The record is from RNAcentral. Lineage: Eukaryota; Fungi; Ascomycota; Sordariomycetes; Hypocreales; Nectriaceae.
UGUGAACAUACCUUAAUGUUGCCUCGGCGGAUCAGCCCGCGCCCCGUAAAACGGGACGGCCCGCCAGAGGACCCAAACUCUAAUGUUUCUUAUUGUAACUUCUGAGUAAAACAAACAAAUAAAUCAAAACUUUCAACAACGGAUCUCUUGGUUCUGGCAUCGAUGAAGAACGCAGCAAAAUGCGAUAAGUAAUGUGAAUUGCAGAAUUCAGUGAAUCAUCGAAUCUUUGAACGCACAUUGCGCCCGCUGGUAUUCCGGCGGGCAUGCCUGUUCGAGCGUCAUUUCAACCCUCAAGCCCCCGGGUUUGGUGUUGGGGAUCGGCUCUGCCCUUCUGGGCGGUGCCGCCCCCGAAAUACAUUGGCGGUCUCGCUGCAGCCUCCAUUGCGUAGUAGCUAACACCUCGCAACUGGAACGCGGCGCGGCCAUGCCGUAAAACCCCAACUUCUGAAUGUUGACCUCGGAUCAGGUAGGAAUACCCGCUGAACUUAAGCAUAUCAAAAGCCCCGGAGGAAA